ACGGAGAGAUGCAUCGUCAUUCCUCGGCGCGCGUGCGCGGGUGCGCGAUGUCUUCGGUUCAGGCCGAGGGCACCGCUCGCGUACGUUAUCCGCGUCCGGGGACGGCGUGCACUUCUCUCUCAGUAAUACAUCGCGACCCGUUCGACGUCGGUCUAAGUGCGUCGCUCGCGGGAGCCUUCGCGCCGGGGGCGUCAAAACCUCCGGUGCGGAGACCGCAAGGCGUAUAUACCGACCGGCUGUCGGACGGUAGAUCUAAAGAAACGCUCACGCGCUUUCGUCGCGCGUCCGGCCCGACGCAAGGCAACGUCGUAUAUUCCUGCGUCCUGCCCGAGUGCGGACGCGGGUGCGGCGCGCCUGUUGUCGCAGCCGUGCUGUCUCGGACCGUGAGCGUAUCGGUCUGCGAUGAUUCGGUUUCGGGCACUCGCAGGACCCGUCUUGA
Molecule: ribosomal RNA, 439 nt
Filed under: Siona lineata (black-veined moth)
Lineage: Eukaryota; Metazoa; Arthropoda; Insecta; Lepidoptera; Geometridae
Description: partial 28S ribosomal RNA
Source: RNAcentral